RNAcentral lists this ribosomal RNA (83 nucleotides) under uncultured Tylospora. RNAcentral describes it as "partial 28S ribosomal RNA". The record is from RNAcentral. Lineage: Eukaryota; Fungi; Basidiomycota; Agaricomycetes; Atheliales; Atheliaceae.
UUGACCUCAAAUCAGGUAGGACUACCCGCUGAACUUAAGCAUAUCAAUAAGCGGAGGAAAUCGAAUCCGCGGCCGCCAGGCCC